AGGCCAGGGUGAGGCUGGCCCAGCUGUGGUUUUCAGAAGACAGAGCUCUGGGCACAUCCACCAUGGCCUGGACCCCUCUUUCACUCCUCGUUCUCACUCUCUGCACAGGGCCCGUGGUCUCCAGCGAGCUGACUCAGCCACGCUUUGUGUCAGUGGCCCUGGGACAGACGGCUACAAUCACCUGCACCGGAGAGAAGGUGAAAUAUAGCUCUAUAUACUGGUACCAGCAGAAGCCAGGGCAAGCCCCUCUGACAGUCAUUUAUGCGGAGAUUGAGUGGCCCUCUGGGAUCCCAGAGUGAUUCUCUGGCUCCAGGUCAGGGAACACGGCCACCCUCACCAUCAGCAAUGCACAGGCUGAGGAUGAGGCUGACUAUUACUGUCAGUCCUAUUACAGCAGUGGUAAUGCUCACAAUGACACAAGCAGAUGGGGAAGUGAGACACAAACCCCUUCUCCGACUGCAUCACCCUCUUCUCCAGCCCCAUGAGGCCUGUGCACAGAGCAGGGAAUAUUUCUGGCCCAGGUCCCCUCAUCUGAGAUAUCCAGACCUUCCUCCCCAUCCAGCUUUCCAGGCAGCUCUGCACAGGGGGGUCAGGAGAGCAUUUACAGCUGACAGCACUAGGUUGCCUGCUUCUCUGGGCCUGGGUGUCAUCUACAGACAGAGGGACUGGGUAGAAAAAAGACACAGGGAGACUUUCAUCCAGUGGGCAUGAUCUCAUUUCCAUGUGUGGUCAUGGGCUAGUGCUCUCCCAGCUGGACAGUAUUAGAGCCCAACAUGUCCCGGCUCAGCUGAGCUCCUGAAGCCCUGGGGACAUGGGUGGAGACGCUUCUACCACAGUGGAACAGACAGGUACAGGAGACACUGAGGUGUCACCCACAUCUCUG
This is a non-coding RNA of Lutra lutra (Eurasian river otter), 883 nucleotides long. The record is from the annotation of a RefSeq genome assembly. Lineage: Eukaryota; Metazoa; Chordata; Mammalia; Carnivora; Mustelidae.